RNAcentral lists this ribosomal RNA (497 nucleotides) under uncultured bacterium. RNAcentral's name for it is "partial 16S ribosomal RNA". It matches the Rfam family "Bacterial small subunit ribosomal RNA", at positions 28 to 507 of the family's 1533-position model. The record is from RNAcentral.
GACGAACGCUGGCGGCGUGCCUAAUACAUGCAAGUUGAGCGCUGAAGGUUGGUACUUGUACCAACUGGAUGAGCAGCGAACGGGUGAGUAACGCGUGGGGAAUCUGCCUUUGAGCGGGGGACAACAUUUGGAAACGAAUGCUAAUACCGCAUAAAAACUUUAAACACAAGUUUUAAGUUUGAAAGAUGCAAUUGCAUCACUCAAAGAUGAUCCCGCGUUGUAUUAGCUAGUUGGUGAGGUAAAGGCUCACCAAGGCGAUGAUACAUAGCCGACCUGAGAGGGUGCUCGGCCACAUUGGGACUGAGACACGGCCCAAACUCCUACGGGAGGCAGCAGUAGGGAAUCUUCGGACAUGGACGAAAGUCUGACCGAGCAACGCCGCGUGAGUGAAGAAGGUUUUCGGAUCGUAAAACUCUGUUGGUAGAGAAGAACGUUGGUGAGAGUGGAAAGCUCAUCAAGUGACGGUAACUACCCAGAAAGGGACGGCUAACUACGUG